ACUCGUUUGUAUUAUCAACCGGGACUACAAGUAUCAUUAUAAAUAGUGCUUCGUCCACCCCGAACCCAAGCUCUCUGUUUUCUCCUUUCUCUCCUCUGUUAUCUUCCCUUGCUCGAGUUCAUCCUCAAUUUCUUUCCAGAUUUGUCAAGAAUUGAGGCAUCCCAUCCAUCCAAGUGUUCACAAAGGUGUGGUUUACUUAGUGUCUUCCUGUCCCCGUCCUAACCACCGUCGAUCGCCCGCACCGUCUCGUCACCGGCACUACCUUGAUGAACCGGCAAUGGAUGUACGAUGAUCGACGCUCUCCCCAACUCAUUGAUGGCUUGCAGAGUUUUCUGCGUGCGGCUGAGGCAAACUAGUGGGAUGGUUGUAUGUCUUAUCCAUGUGUUGUCUAUAAGAAUGAUAAAACUUACUCUAAGUCAAGAGUCAUUCAC
This is a long non-coding RNA of Hordeum vulgare subsp. vulgare (domesticated barley), 431 nucleotides long. RefSeq lists it as uncharacterized. The transcript has 3 exons. The record is from RefSeq and is a predicted model, not a curated record. Lineage: Eukaryota; Viridiplantae; Streptophyta; Magnoliopsida; Poales; Poaceae.